UAGGGAAUCUUCGGCAAUGGGGGCAACCCUGACCGAGCAACGCCGCGUGAGUGAAGAAGGUUUUCGGAUCGUAAAGCUCUGUUGUAAGAGAAGAACGUGUGUGAGAGUGGAAAGUUCACACAGUGACGGUAACUUACCAGAAAGGGACGGCUAACUACGUGCCAGCAGCCGCGGUAAUACGUAGGUCCCGAGCGUUGUCCGGAUUUAUUGGGCGUAAAGCGAGCGCAGGCGGUUUAAUAAGUCUGAAGUUAAAGGCAGUGGCUUAACCAUUGUGCGCUUUGGAAACUGUUAAGCUUGAGUGCAGAAGGGGAGAGUGGAAUUCCAUGUGUGGCGGUGAAAUGCGUUGAUAGAUGGGGGAACACCGGUGGCGAAAGCGGCUCUCUGGUCUGUAACUGACGCUGAGGCUCGAAAGCGUGGGGAGCAAACAGG
This 429-nucleotide ribosomal RNA is filed under the name bacterium. RNAcentral's name for it is "partial 16S ribosomal RNA". It matches the Rfam family "Bacterial small subunit ribosomal RNA", at positions 355 to 776 of the family's 1533-position model. The record is from RNAcentral.